UAGGGAAUCUUCGGCAAUGGGGGGAACCCUGACCGAGCAACGCCGCGUGAGUGAAGAAGGUUUUCGGAUCGUAAAGCUCUGUUGUUAAGGAAGAACGAGUGUGAGAAUGGAAAGUUCAUGCUGUGACGUUACUUAACCAGAAAGGGACGGCUAACUACGUGCCAGCAGCUGCGGUAAUACGUAGGGGGCUAGCGUUGUCCGGAAUCACUGGGCGUAAAGGGUUCGCAGGCGGAAAUGCAAGUCAGGUGUAAAAGGCAGUAGCUUAACUACUGUAAGCAUUUGAAACUGCAUAUCUUGAGAAGAGUAGAGGUAAGUGGAAUUUUUAGUGUAGCGGUGAAAUGCGUAGAUAUUAAAAAGAAUACCGGUGGCGAAGGCGACUUACUGGGCUCAUUCUGACGCUGAGGAACGAAAGCGUGGGUAGCAAACAGG
Molecule: ribosomal RNA, 429 nt
Filed under: Verrucomicrobiota bacterium
Lineage: Bacteria; Pseudomonadati; Verrucomicrobiota
Description: Verrucomicrobia bacterium partial 16S ribosomal RNA
Rfam family: Bacterial small subunit ribosomal RNA
Source: RNAcentral